GCGGUGCCGUACUCAGAAGGGGCCAGGUUGCUUAGACUGCACGUGACCUGCGCCAUUCUGAGUAUAGCAACGCU
Pteropus alecto (black flying fox) is the source of this 74-nucleotide non-coding RNA. The record is from Rfam. Lineage: Eukaryota; Metazoa; Chordata; Mammalia; Chiroptera; Pteropodidae.